GACGAACGCUGGCGGCGUGCCUAAUACAUGCAAGUAGAACGCACAGUUUAUACCGUAGCUUGCUACACCAUAAACUGUGAGUUGCGAACGGGUGAGUAACGCGUAGGUAACCUGCCUGGUAGCGGGGGAUAACUAUUGGAAACGAUAGCUAAUACCGCAUAAUAUUGAUUAUUGCAUGAUAAUUGAUUGAAAGAUGCAACUGCAUCACUACCAGAUGGACCUGCGUUGUAUUAGCUAGUAGGUGAGGUAACGGCUCACCUAGGCGACGAUACAUAGCCGACCUGAGAGGGUGAUCGGCCACACUGGGACUGAGACACGGCCCAGACUCCUACGGGAGGCAGCAGUAGGGAAUCUUCGGCAAUGGACGAAAGUCUGACCGAGCAACGCCGCGUGAGUGAAGAAGGUUUUCGGAUCGUAAAGCUCUGUUGUAAGAGAAGAACGGGUGUGAGAGUGGAAAGUUCACACUGUGACAGAUCUACCAGAAAGGACG
RNAcentral lists this ribosomal RNA (490 nucleotides) under Streptococcus gordonii. RNAcentral's name for it is "bacterial SSU rRNA". It matches the Rfam family "Bacterial small subunit ribosomal RNA", at positions 28 to 494 of the family's 1533-position model. Lineage: Bacteria; Bacillati; Bacillota; Bacilli; Lactobacillales; Streptococcaceae. The record is from RNAcentral.